ACAUCAAUCUAUGUCUGUAGAUGUGAUUAAGAAAGCAUAUCAAGCAACUGAAGAGGGGUUUCUUUCUCUUGUCACUAAACAGUGGCCCAUGAAGCCUCAGAUUGCAGCAGUUGGAUCUUGUUGUCUGGUGGGUAUCAUUUGUGGGGGUACCCUCUACAUUGCUAACCUUGGUGAUUCACGGGCUGUCCUUGGUAGGCUUGUCAAAGCAACUGGGGAAGUUCUUGCCAUCCAGCUGUCAUCAGAGCA
Molecule: unclassified non-coding RNA, 246 nt
Filed under: Hevea brasiliensis (rubber tree)
Lineage: Eukaryota; Viridiplantae; Streptophyta; Magnoliopsida; Malpighiales; Euphorbiaceae
Source: RNAcentral